Molecule: ribosomal RNA, 945 nt
Filed under: Triticum aestivum (bread wheat)
Lineage: Eukaryota; Viridiplantae; Streptophyta; Magnoliopsida; Poales; Poaceae
Description: partial small subunit ribosomal RNA
Source: RNAcentral
AUGCAGCGCCUGGAAGAGCACGGAUGCGUGGAUGUCCACAAGGUGAGCGCUUGCCUGACAAAAACUAUCGAUGAGCGGGGACACACCUUUGUUGUAGAGCCACCCGAAGAUGCCCCACUUGCUGCACUGGGCUGCGUCGAAUUUGUCCGCGAGCUUGGCCGACCCGGUGCCCAGGGAGAGGAUGAGGAACUUCCCAUAGUCGGCCGGUUUGAUGGGGAAGAAAUCAUUGUUGCCCAUGAGGAUCUGCUUGCUGACGUGGGUCAUGGCCAGCAGCGUCGGCUUGUUUGCCGCGACGCCGCCGUCGAUCAGAUUGAAUGCGCGCGGCUUGCCGUGCUUGUACGUGGUCUCGAAGUGGUGGCCGGGCAGGUAGGUGGGCGCGGCGGACGUGCUGAUGCAUACGUCGGAGAGGAGGGCGUCUUUGGCGACGUCGCUUUGAGCCUGCACACACAAGAUGUGGUGAUCGACGUUACUGCGACGUACUCAGGCAACAUACAUACAUGUAAUACACAAAUGAACGAUGGAACACGUUUAUUUGGAGCGGAGGGAAGAACUUACAUCGUAUCUGGAGAAGAUGAUUGGCUGCAGCAGCUUGAUGUCGAAGGCAGGGACGACGAUGUUCUGCAACGCUUGGCUCACGCGUGUCUCCCCGAGCAGCUUUCGCACGACGGAGUGCAGAUAUUUGCCGUUGUACUUGGGCCCCUUGAUGCUCUUGAGCAAGCCGAGAGGCCCGCGCCUGACGCGAGGGAAGAUCUUUGGGCAGUGCUCCAGGUAGAAGGCGUUGAUGUCCUUGGCGGCGAAGAGCGGGCGGCCGUCGGCAUUAGGGGCGGUGAGCAUGGCGGUCACCAGCCCGCCGGUGCUGGUCCCUGCAAUCACAUCGAAGUAGUCGGCCACCCUGGCCUCGGGUCCAUCAAGUUCCUGCAAUCAGUUGCACACACCAACAGUUAG